RNAcentral lists this microRNA precursor (61 nucleotides) under Pristionchus pacificus. RNAcentral's name for it is "mir-8364 microRNA precursor family". It matches the Rfam family "mir-8364 microRNA precursor family". Lineage: Eukaryota; Metazoa; Nematoda; Chromadorea; Rhabditida; Neodiplogasteridae. The record is from Rfam by way of RNAcentral.
UCUUCAUUUUACACACUCUCUCGCUUUUCUGACCCGUGAGAUAGUGUGAAGAAUGAAGAGA